CUCAAGGCGCACUCACUUCCGGCAUCACCGGUGGCCAUCUUGUCACAGGCAGGCUUCCUGUCGGGCUCUGUGGUACCUAAUAUAAGGUUCAGCCAGGACCACUUGGAGCUUCUCUUCAACUCCAUCAGAGUAUCUGCCAGUUCAAGUACAUCUUUAGGAUGUAAAGCUGAUGGCCCAGUGUGGGGUUGUUAAACCAUGCAGAGGCAAUGUGACUGCCCAGGAUGACACAGAGUCCCUACCAGCUGUCAUCGACACCUCUACAAGCCUGUCAGCUGUAGAUGUGUCCUCUGCAGCAGUAGGAGAACAUCCCCGUUUGCUGACAUUCCUGCCCUAGUACAUGAUCACAGCUACCUUCCCGUCCACUUCGAUGGUCUUGUGGACAACGCUCUCAUGUACAUUUCAGGCUCUGAAGAAGCUGUCGUGUGAUGUCUGCCGUGCCAGCCUGGUGACAUGCUGCAUCUGCCAUCAAGGACCAGAGCUACCACAUGCUGAAUUUAAAAAACAAUGGAGGUCUGGUGAUUUCAUCAGAGGGAACCAUGAGUGUCAUCAGGGCAGCAGAGUGGGUCAUUCGGCAGUCAUCAGGCAGUACCAGACGAUCACAGCCCAUCAAACUGCUUGAGGUUGUUUACAUUGUCUGAAAAAGGAUCGGUUCAGAGGAUUUUUGUGUUGGGAUAGACAGUAUGGGAUAGACAUCCACAACCAUAGGCUGUUAAAAAUAAUUCUGUCCCUGUUUUUUAAGUUAAGGCUGCACCACAUCGCCAGAAUUACAGUCCUCAGCUUACAGAGCAACAACAUGCGACAGAAACUAAAUAAAACUGUCCUUUUCAAAGGGCAUUAGCCCAAGGUAUGUGUUUUCAAGGUACUGUCCUCUUUUACUUCAACAGUAGUGUAGUGCUCUCUACAGCAUUUAUUUAUUUGUGUAUAUAUAAAUGAUUUAUUUAUAUUUGUAAAGGGGAAUCAUGUACCUAUUUUUUGUGUGCAAAUAAAUGUCACUCUUAUAAUAGUUUAAAAAUAGAGACUUGUGUAAUUAUUCCAUAUUUUUUGUAGUCAUUCUAUAUCAGAACCCCUGACAUACAAUCCAAAUAGUCUACAAGUAACAUCAGUGUUACCUUUCAUUUGAUUUCAUUAUGCUUCUACACGAAGAGGUUGCCCCACAGUAAGCAUUUUAUGGUCAGCAUUUUGUCUGACAAAGUCCUAUGGGGAGUUUCCAUAGGGCAUUUUACAAUACGCAUGACCAUACCUUGGCAAAUAAUGGUCUAAAGUACUCAAUUUCAUUCUAUAUUGAUCUGCUUUUGCACACAGCUUCACAAGACCUGGUGCUAGGGCUCCGUUGUUUCUAAAGUCAUGUCAAGUGACCUAGAGGGCUGAAAUAUGGUCAGUUCAGAGAUGCUUGUUAUCCGGCA
Long non-coding RNA from Esox lucius (northern pike), 1403 nucleotides. The record is from Ensembl. Lineage: Eukaryota; Metazoa; Chordata; Actinopteri; Esociformes; Esocidae.